UGGGGAAUUUUGGACAAUGGGCGAAAGCCUGAUCCAGCAAUGCCGCGUGUGUGAAGAAGGCCUUCGGGUUGUAAAGCACUUUUGUCCGGAAAGAAAUCCUUGGCUCUAAUACAGUCGGGGGAUGACGGUACCGGAAGAAUAAGCACCGGCUAACUACGUGCCAGCAGCCGCGGUAAUACGUAGGGUGCAAGCGUUAAUCGGAAUUACUGGGCGUAAAGCGUGCGCAGGCGGUUUGCUAAGACCGAUGUGAAAUCCCCGGGCUCAACCUGGGAACUGCAUUGGUGACUGGCAGGCUAGAGUAUGGCAGAGGGGGGUAGAAUUCCACGUGUAGCAGUGAAAUGCGUAGAGAUGUGGAGGAAUACCGAUGGCGAAGGCAGCCCCCUGGGCCAAUACUGACGCUCAUGCACGAAAGCGUGGGGAGCAAACAGGAUUAGAUACCCUGGUAGUCCACGCCCUAAACGAUGUCAACUAGUUGUUGGGGAUUCAUUUCCUUAGUAACGUAGCUAACGCGUGAAGUUGACCGCCUGGGGAGUACGGUCGCAAGAUUAAAACUUAAAUGAAUUGACGGGGUCAUA
This 575-nucleotide ribosomal RNA is filed under the name uncultured bacterium. Its description in RNAcentral is "partial 16S ribosomal RNA". It matches the Rfam family "Bacterial small subunit ribosomal RNA", at positions 355 to 923 of the family's 1533-position model. The record is from RNAcentral.